Molecule: ribosomal RNA, 494 nt
Filed under: uncultured bacterium
Lineage: Bacteria
Description: bacterial SSU rRNA
Rfam family: Bacterial small subunit ribosomal RNA
Source: RNAcentral
UGAACGCUAGCGACAGGCCUAACACAUGCAAGUCGAGGGGCGAGCACAAGGAGCAAUCUGAGGUGGCGACCGGCGCACGGGUGAGUAACACGUAUGCAACCUGCCUGUAAGCGGGGAAUAACCCGUUGAAAGACGGACUAAUACCGCAUAAUACUAAAUUACUGCAUGGUAAUUAUUUAAACAUUUAUGGCUUACAGAUGGGCAUGCGCAUGAUUAGCUAGUUGGAGAGGUAACGGCUCCCCAAGGCAACGAUCAUUAGGGGUUCUGAGAGGAAGGUCCCCCACACUGGUACUGAGACACGGACCAGACUCCUACGGGAGGCAGCAGUGAGGAAUAUUGGUCAAUGGACGAGAGUCUGAACCAGCCAAGUCGCGUGCAGGAAGAAUGUCCCUAUGGAUUGUAAACUGCUUUUGCAGGGGAAUAAAGUGCAUCACGUGUGAUGUUUUGUAUGUACUCUGCGAAUAAGGAUCGGCUAACUCCGUGCCAGCCGCCGC